Molecule: long non-coding RNA, 1390 nt
Organism: Patella vulgata (common limpet)
Lineage: Eukaryota; Metazoa; Mollusca; Gastropoda; Patellidae
Exons: 2
Source: RefSeq, a predicted model, not a curated record
GACUCGGGAUAAUUUAUUAGAAAUAGGCCAAUUCAAAACACGAAAGAAAAUAUUUAUUAACAUGAAACACGUGGUUAGUAAAAGGCUCAACCAAACGAUAAAACAUUAGUUGCACUUACGGUUCUUUGAUAAUCAUCGUUUCUCAUAAAAGUUUUAUAUUUAUUUAAAACGAAUAAUAUGCUGAUGAAUUUAUUUGAAAAUGACCUACACAAAAAACAAAAUAAAUAUUUACACGACAUGCAAUCUUUUUUUACAAGCCCCUAGAAAUUGUUAACGAUAAUCCGUGAGCUGCACGUUGACAUGCUUGUCGUAGAUGGCAAUACCAAUUGAUAAAUUAGUGCGUACAAGGCAAAGUUUUUUUGUGGACAAUAUAAGAAAUGGCAACGAACAAAGCGGGAUAAUUAAAGCUGAUAAUCCCAAUGUUAUUACAGUAUGUUCAAAGAAACCUAACGGUUCUUUGGUGGAUGAGGAAAAACGUGAGUUGUCAAUCAUCGAGAAUGGCGGCCGUGUGUUGAUUGCAGUUAUACCGUUUCACGAAAAAACAUUAGCAGUGGUCGGUCAAUCAAGCUCGUUUACUAUUUAUAACGCAAAUUUUUCGUUUCGGUUAAAACAAUAUAUACGUCCAUUUUAAUUGGCCGAAGGAUGUGUGACUAAUAGAAAUAUGGCGGGAGGACAAACUGACCAAACAGUAUAUUUCGAGGUAUUUGAGGCCAAGAACAUGGAAAAUUGGUAAUUGCCUUGUAUCACUGCUAACUAUAAGGCACAGGGAGCCUUGGGCAGAAAUGAUAAUAAUAUGGUUCUCAGAUAUGUUACUGUAUACAGACUGAACAAAAAAUAUAUAUACACUUGCUAUUACAUGUACAUUAUAUCAUUGGCAAUAAUAAGAUCCAAUUUUAGUUUUUAGUUACACACUGUUAACCACCAAUAGAUGACAAUAAAUCAUAAAAUGUAUUCAGCUCGACGUAAGACUUAAAUAAAUAGAUACAGUUGGUUUAACUUGAAUAGAAGUUUUAAUUAUCUAUGCUGCAUAUAUGCAUAUAUCACCUUGCAGCUGAAUCACAUUACAUAUCUUUUUAGUUGAUGUUCAUAUCGUCUUACGUAUUUGUCAACAUCAAUGUGACCUUGUUCUAUGUCACAUUAGCCUUUUCAGACUUGUUACCACGAAUUUACUCACCACACCCUCGCAUAGUUAUGAAUUUAUUGUUUCACUUGACUAAAGAAACAUUUUGUAGGAAUGUAUGCUUUUAUAGAUUGGACACUUGUUUGCAAUAUCAUUGUCGGUGGAAACUGGCACUAUACCUAAAGAAUGACUGAACAAAUAGCGGAGACGGGGUUUCAGCCGGCUGAUUUAAAUUAUUUCUUUAAAUACAGUAAAGCUUGAAAUAUGUCA